RNAcentral lists this long non-coding RNA (1209 nucleotides) under Capsicum annuum. RNAcentral's name for it is "long non-coding RNA (CANN_LNC001572)". Lineage: Eukaryota; Viridiplantae; Streptophyta; Magnoliopsida; Solanales; Solanaceae. The record is from RNAcentral.
GGGCUGCAAUCAAAAAUUAAGAAAAAUAUAUAAGGUAUUCUUCUCGAAUAAAUAAUUAGAAUUAUCUUAUAGGUAUGAGUUUUAGGUGCGGUUACAACUUAUUGUACCAAAGUCAUGAAAGCGUAUGGAAUGCAAUGACUGUGUUGGAGUCCCACAUCGAUGGGUUAAAAUGUCCUAGGUCUCCUUAUAUGCUCUUGGAAAAUCCUCCCCUCAUGAGCACUUUUGAGGUUGAGUUUGGUCCAAGGUCCAUUUCUUUAUCAUGGUAUCAGAGUCAGGCCCACCCAGUUCAUUGUUUCCAAUGUUGGCCCCCCGCAUUAUAUUGUCCACGCUCCAGAUGUCCAGUCCUGGGCGUGCGGGGGUGUUGGAGUCCCACAUCGGUGGGCCCAAGGAUACUUGGUCUCCUUAUAUGGUCUUAGGCAAUCCUCCCCUCAUGAGCUAGCUGUUGAGGUUGAGUUAGGGGGUGUUGGAGUCCCACAUCGGUGUCUUAUAUUGUCCACGCUCCAGAUGUUCAGUCCUGGGCGUGCGGGGGUAUUGGAGUCCUACAUCGGUGGGUCCAAGGAUCCUUGGUCUCCUUAUAUGGUCUUAAGCAAUCCUCCCCUCAUGAGCUAGCUGUUGAGGUUGAGUUAGGGGGUGUUGGAGUCCCACAUCGGUGUCUUAUAUUGUCCACGCUCCAGAUGUUCAGUCCUGGGCGUGCGGGGGUGUUAGAGUCCCACAUUGGUGGGUCUAAGGAUCCUUGAUCUCCUUAUAUGGUCUUGGGCAAUUCUCUCCUCAUGAGCUAGCUUUUGAGGUUGAGUUAGGCUCAAGGUCCAUUUCUUUAUCAGCAUGGCCCAUUGUAUGCUAUGUGGAUUUGAUGUGCCAUUCCUCACCACACCUCGAAAAAAUUUAAGAACAAUGACAAGCAAUGAGAAUUACCCCGAAAUUAGGACAGCCAGUCCAAUGGCCACACCGACAACAAAUCCAGACAAUGGUCCUGUCUAUAUAAAAUAAAAUAUAUAAUUAAUACAUAUAAGUUACAAAACAAAAUCUAAAAAUAUAUAUAAGAGGGGAUCGAUUAAUGUUGCUAUUAGUGUUAUAUCUUACAGAUUGAGGAUCAUUUGUCAAUGAUGCACUUAGGAAGAGAACAAUGAAGGUUGCUAAAAGCUCCACUAAAAAUGCUGAAGUGCAACCAUGUAGAGGUCUUGUUGUUACAAAUUCUGCUUUUAAUCCAUA